Molecule: long non-coding RNA, 748 nt
Organism: Phacochoerus africanus (Common warthog)
Lineage: Eukaryota; Metazoa; Chordata; Mammalia; Artiodactyla; Suidae
Exons: 5
Source: RefSeq, a predicted model, not a curated record
AAAACUUGGUUUUCGAGCGUUUCGCUGCCCCAGGGGGGCAGUGGGCCCCAUGUCCAAUUCAUCAAGUGCCUAAUGAGUGGCCUCAGAGGUCCCGGCCCAUCCAUUCCAGAAGCUCUCUCUGCCUCGUAAAGCUGGUGAUUUUGCCAGCGUCCUGGAUGUUCGUUCUGGUCUGCACAGAAGAGUCACAUUUCCUCCUGGAAUCGGGACCAGGACACAGACAGACCCGCAGACACAGGAAACGCCAGAUUUGUAUCAAGUGAGCCCCUGCGAAUUGAUCCGGAGAAAAUAUGAACUCGUCUGUCUCAAGGACUGUGGUUCGCUAGCAGACAGAGAGAGCUAUUGGAUACGUGGAAACCAGAGAAAAUAAAAUUAGUGAUUCUGGAAAGAGGUUCAUUCAGAUUUAUGCAGGCCCAGGAAGGUUGUGAGGAUUUGAGAUGGCGAAUGAAAAGACUGGGCCCUUAGCAUGUGCCAGACGGAGGAGGGUUGGGUCAUGGCCCUCUGUGGGCCAGUUCCUGGAGCCCAGGAACAAAGGGGCACGGGGGCCUCCUGGCAUCACAUCUUGGCCUCCUGUGACUGGGGCCACCCUAGGAUAUUAGCAGACUCAAGCAGAAGCUCGGAGAAACACUUACUGUUUUCACCUGCACGCUGGUGCCCCUGCUGUGCGUCUGUGCAGUGCCUGAGCUGCUGGCCUGAUGGAGGAUAGGAGGUGCACGGAGAAGCCCAGUCACCGCGUCCAUCCCAGCAGAAG